Non-coding RNA from Cinara cedri, 276 nucleotides. Lineage: Eukaryota; Metazoa; Arthropoda; Insecta; Hemiptera; Aphididae. The record is from the annotation of a GenBank genome assembly.
UUUUAUUUAAGCUAUUUGCAGCUUCUUACUAUUUUCAUACACGGAGUUUUUCAUCAUAAACGUCAGAAUUCUCCCUGUUUAAAUUUAGUCAACGUUCCAUUUUAACUUAAAUGUUUUUACAAUGAUUUGAAAAAAUAUCACGUAUUAAUUCUAAAUUAAGUAUUUAUAAAACUAUAAUUGAAUACAAUCGAUCAUCUUCACUUAUUGGUAGUAAAUAUACGACUCCCGACUAAAGUGCUGUACGCCUGUAAAAUUCGUAUCAACAAAAAAAACUGA